GAUCCUGGCUCAGGAUGAACGCUAGCUACAGGCUUAACACAUGCAAGUCGAGGGGCAGCAUGAACUUAGCUUGCUAAGUUUGAUGGCGACCGGCGCACGGGUGAGUAACACGUAUCCAACCUUCCCGUUACUCUGGGAUAGCCUUUCGAAAGAAAGAUUAAUACCGGAUAGUAUCGAGAGAUUGCAUGAUAACCCGAUUAAAGAUUUAUCGGUAACGGAUGGGGAUGCGUUCCAUUAGAUAGUAGG
Molecule: ribosomal RNA, 246 nt
Filed under: uncultured bacterium
Lineage: Bacteria
Description: partial 16S ribosomal RNA
Rfam family: Bacterial small subunit ribosomal RNA
Source: RNAcentral